This is an RNA transcript of Ictalurus furcatus (blue catfish), 3483 nucleotides long. It is a transcript of the gene named CREB/ATF bZIP transcription factor, with no coding region annotated. The record is from RefSeq and is a predicted model, not a curated record. NCBI's taxonomy places the organism in Eukaryota, Metazoa, Chordata, Actinopteri, Siluriformes, Ictaluridae. The transcript is spliced from 5 exons.
CAUUCCAGUUCAACUCGCAGUACUUAAAUCUCGCGAGAUCUCCUGUCGCGCCAUUUCAGGCCCGAGCGCACACAUCGCAUUGUUGCUUGGAGUGUCGCCACGGCUACGGUUGUAGGGCCAGAGUUUUUGUUUUGUAUAUAUUUUUUUUAACUUUCUUACACAUUACGCGGUGUUUUGAGAUUUUUUUUUUUAUGUUCUACGCUUUGAAGCAGGUGUGAUAUACACCGUUGAGGGCUAUAAUUCUGCAGAAUCAGACCAAUCAGGAAUCCCUAAUGGUGACCAGAAAAAGAGGAAGACUUGAGAGUAAAGGUGUGGACACCAUGUGCUCAAGCCCUUCUGAGGAAUGUGACCUCGCCUUACAAAUGUCUUCUGAAGGUGCAAUCCAGCACUCCUCACCAGAGAGUGAUUCGAACGACUGGGGGCUAGAUGAGCUCUUCACCUCUGAUUUCAACUGGGCUUUAGAAGAUGAUGUGCUCUGUCCUUUCCAAGACAUGGGAAUGCAGGAUCUAGGGUUAAGCGCGGAAGACAAGACUGAUCAGGAAUCCAUAUCCCACAGCAGAGGUUCGGCCCGGAGGCAGAAACUACAAGACCUUUCUGGGCGCAAUGUGAAUAAGAACGCACUGGCGGCAAGACUGAACCGGCUGAAGAAGAAAGAGUAUUUGAAUGGCUUGGAGCAGCGCGUUGGAUCUCUGACCUCUGAGAACCGGCUUCUCAGGCAGGAGAACGGCAGCCUGAACAAAAGGGUGGAAGAACUUGAGAAUGAGACUAGGUACUUGAGAGCCGUGUUGGCCAAUGAGAGCAUGUUGGCGCAGCUGUUGUCUAGAUUGAGCGGUGUGAACGGCAUGAAAUUCUCUACCUCGCUUUUCCAGGCGUCCAGCGAGAACGACCACGAUUACGCCAUGCCAAGGAAGAAAGUGAAGGUGGAGGACAAGGCCGCGGCAGGCGGCGUCUGUCUGCAUGUGGACAAGGACCACGUCUCUGUGGAGUUCUGCACUAAAUGUGCAGAGAGUGCAAGCGCAUCACUUAAAAUUUUUCUCCUAGGUGCUUGGUCUGCCAUGUGGGGUGACUGGAUCUCAGAGCAUCCAUGACUGCCAGAACCUAUGUGGAUUUGCUGUGGGGAAAGCUGAAGAAACGGGACCAGCAGCUUGCAACAUGGCCUGGUAAAUUAAAAAAGCAGUUUCUUCAUUCUCCUCAAGUGUUAUCCUCCCUCUUUUCUAAGUGGAUAAAGAGUGGUAAUCUUGCCUUUAAGGGACUGCAAACCACAAACCUUUUCCAUGACAACAUGCUAUGUGGCCUUUAUUCUGUGGGUUAUGGAGGGGGAACCUUGCUUUCAAAGAGCUUGUGAUGGUCCAGACAUAGGGAGGGGCUUUCACACCUAUACACUGCAAACAUGAUAAUGAAUCAGAGAAAUUGAUAGUUUUUUUUUAUAAUUUGGUUUGAUACAGCAUUUAAUGUAACAAACCAAGAAACAAAAAUUGGCUAAGCAUUGGGGCUGAAAACUUGAUUUGAAUUUGUUGGUCAAAUAUAGUAAUGGAAAGGGAUGUAGAAGUUACAAGUCACCUGAGCACAAAGCUCACUCUAAAGUAUGUGCAACAGUUCAAUUUUAUAAAUUACUACAGGGUGUCCCAAAGUCCCCAUACAUGGGGGAAUUAACACUUUUUUAGCUAAUGUAACUUUAUUUACAAAACAUCCUCUACAUGAUUGACAUUUCUUUGUAAAAACAGAGUCGUGGCUCCCCAGUUUGGGAACACUGGGGAGUGUGAUGUGCUUGCCAUGUUUCCAUCUCAACCUUGGGACACCUUCCCGAUCCAGACAUGAGAAUGAUUUCAAUAAAUUCGUUCUUCUUUUGUCAAAGACAUUCUUAAAGGUUAUUUGGGGGUUAUGAACUGGAGUAUGAAACAUUUUGUUGGUGUUUAUUUCCCCUAUGUAUGGAGACUUCUGGGACAUGCUAUAGUUUAAAAUGUGUAGUGUCACAUCCAGCAUUGUUUCCUUUUGUUGGUCCAUAUAGCCAGAGCAUAUUGAUGUCUCUCAUGCUACAGCUUUGUCCUUUUGGAACCUUUCGUUCCUCAUGAGGUAGUUUGGCAGCUGGCAUUUACAAAACUGCUGCAGGUGACCAAAAGUACUUGCCGUUUGGUUCCCUUUGGCCUGUUCAGAGUUUAAUGGAUUUGUCACUGAUCAAAAUGCAGUAGUUUGUAUGAAACCAGGCUGUUUUGUUUAGACCGUCUCAGACCGGUUGUUCUGGUCUGCUCCCAAGUGUGAUUUAACUGCUUAAGUGAAAUACUGAGAGGGGGUUAAAGAUCAGAGAUCAGAUUAAACAUACAGAAGCACUAUAGGUGAAAGCACUAUUUAAGCACAAUGUUAAAUCUCCUCUUUCGUACUUUGUGGCAGUGGUUCCCUCUUUGUUCUCAACAGUUCAGGAUGGUGUUAAAGCUACCCCUUAAUAUUUAGCAAAAAGAAAAUAUUCAAAUGGAUUUAUAGAAGGGUGUUGUAAAGAUGAAUUAAACUUGUUUAAAAAUGGCUUGCUUGCUAAUCCACAGACGAGAGAAGUCUCUUGGCUUGUGUAAAACUGCAUAUAAAACAAACGCAAAAUUUACUCUAGAAUAAUAAAUUGCAUGAUGGGGUGCUUUCUGCUGUCACCCUCACUAAUUGAGAGUAUUCAGAUAUACAGAUAGGAAACUUGGCCAUUAGCACUUGUACUGUGAAACCAAUGAUGUAAUAGGUUGUAUGAUUUUAUUAUUUCAUAUAGCCUGCAUUUUGAUGAUAGGUUCGUAUGCUCUAUGGUGCACUAACAUGUCUGUUGCAUGGCCAGAACUAGAUGCUUGAAAUCGACAUUAACAUGCACACCAGUUUGCACACUCGAAUGACUUAAAAUCAUUGAGGGGAUUAUGACUAUACUACAUGUACUGUUUUAUGGAAACAUGAAUAUUGGUAGGCAUCACAAAAUUCUCCAGUGGGUUUGAGAGUUCUAUAUCUUGUUUUUAAAAUUCUUAUUUUGGUUUUAGUGUGUCUGUUUUUUUUUUUGUUUUUUUUUUUUAAAUUUGGUGAACAAAAUUGCCUUUGCUGUGAAGGACACAAGAUUCUCCUUCAGAAUUGUCCAAAAUAUCAGAUUUUAGAUGUCUGUCCUUAAAAAAAAAAAAAAAAAAGUAGUAAUGAUUAAAUAUUAAGGAUAAUUGUUUUGAAGCCUCUGUGAUGUUCAGGGAAUGUUAUCUGCACUUGUGUAGUGUAGUGUUUAGAGACUGAAGCACUGACAGUGCAUCUUAGCAGGUGUGCAAUGCUAUAAGUAACUCUAGAUUAUAUUAGUACAGAUUCAAUAGUCAAACCACUAGGUACAGAAAUGAAUAAAAGUUAACUUGGAUCAAUAUAGACAAUUAUCAUCAAAACCCUUAAUAUUUUUUGUUUAUGCUUUCAUACAAAUUGGGAAUAUAUGGUUGUAAAAUUUAGAUUAUUUUCUUUAAUAAUAAAGAUUCUUUUCAUUCUAUGAUG